This 119-nucleotide small nucleolar RNA is filed under the name Oryza punctata. RNAcentral's name for it is "snoRNA snoZ173". It matches the Rfam family "Small nucleolar RNA Z173". From Rfam's summary of the family: Z173 is a member of the C/D class of snoRNA which contain the C (UGAUGA) and D (CUGA) box motifs. Lineage: Eukaryota; Viridiplantae; Streptophyta; Magnoliopsida; Poales; Poaceae. The record is from Rfam by way of RNAcentral.
GCAGCGCGGAUAAUGAGUUUACAUUUAUACUAGGUUGAAUUCUGAUCGACGAACCGACGAACCGUGUUUCUCCGGUUCGAACGAUGACCACGUGUGUCCCUCUCAAUUUGAGGCGCUGA